RNAcentral lists this ribosomal RNA (1455 nucleotides) under uncultured bacterium. RNAcentral's name for it is "16S ribosomal RNA". It matches the Rfam family "Bacterial small subunit ribosomal RNA". The record is from RNAcentral.
AGAGUUUGAUCCUGGCUCAGAACGAACGCUGGUGGUAUGCUUAACACAUGCAAGUCGAACGAUAUGUUUUCGGACAUAUAGUGGCAAACGGGUGAGUAACACGUAGGAACAUACCCAUGGGUAGGGGAUAGCUUUUGGAAACGAAAAUUAAUACCGUAUAUCUCUAAGGAGAAAAGAUUUAUCGCCCAUGGAUUGGCCUGCGCUAGAUUAGGUAGUUGGUAGGGUAAUGGCCUACCAAGCCUAUGAUCUAUAGCUGGUCUGAGAGGAUGAUCAGCCACACUAGGACUGAGACACGGCCUAGACUCCUACGGGAGGCAGCAGUGAGGAAUUUUGGACAAUGGGGGAAACCCUGAUCCAGCAAUACCACGUGAGUGAUGAAGGCCUUCGGGUUGUAAAGCUCUUUUAAUGGGGAAGAUAAUGACUGUACCCAUAGAAUAAGUACCGGCUAACUCUGUGCCAGCAGCCGCGGUAAGACAGAGGGUGCAAGCGUUGUUCGGAUUUACUGGGCGUAAAGGGCGUGUAGGUGUAUUGGUAAGUCGGAUGUGAAAUCUUGGGGCUCAACCCCAAAACUGCAUUCGAUACUGCCAGUAUAGAGAUUAUGAGAGGAGAGUGGAAUUACUAGUGUAGAGGUUAAAUUCGUAAAUAUUAGUAGGAACACCAAGGGCGAAGGCAGCUCUCUGGCAUAAAUCUGACAUUGAGGCGCGAAAGUGUGGGUAGCAAACAGGAUUAGAUACCCUGGUAGUCCACACCCUAAACGAUGAGUGCUAGGUGUUAGGAAUUUUUCUUAGUGCCUAAGCUAACGCGUUAAGCACUCCGCCUGGGUAGUACGAUCGCAAGAUUAAAACUUAAAGGAAUUGACGGGGACUCGCACAAGCGGUGGAGCAUGUGGUUUAAUUCGAUGGUCCGCGAAAAACCUUACCAGCCUUUGACAUAUAUGUGAAAUAGUGCGUAGUGGCACUACUUUUAGCUUGCUAAACACAUAUACAGGUGUUGCAUGGCCGUCGUCAGCUCGUGUCGUGAGAUGUUGGGUUAAGUCCUAUAACGAGCGCAACCCUUGUCCUUAGUUGCCAGCACAUAAUGGUGGGUACUUUAAGGAGACUGCCGGUGAUAAGCCGGAGGAAGGAAAGGAUGACGUCAGGUCCUCAUGGCCCUUUUAGGCUGGGCUACACAUGUGCUACAAUGGUGACUACAGAGGGACGCGAAUGGGCGACCUGGAGCAAAUCCCACAAAAGUCAUCUUAGUUCGGAUUACUCUCUGCAACUCGAGAGUAUGAAGUCGGAAUCGCUAGUAAUCGCAGAUCAGCACGCUGCGGUGAAUAUGUUCUCGGGUCUUGUACACACCGCCCGUCAAGCCAUGGAAGUCGGUCUUGUCUUAAAUGAGUGAGCCAACCCUUUAUUGGGAGGCAGCUUAUCACGAUGAGGUCGGUAACUGGGGUUAAGUCGUAACAAGGUAACC